RNAcentral lists this ribosomal RNA (616 nucleotides) under uncultured Legionella sp. Its description in RNAcentral is "bacterial SSU rRNA". It matches the Rfam family "Bacterial small subunit ribosomal RNA", at positions 242 to 849 of the family's 1533-position model. The record is from RNAcentral. Lineage: Bacteria; Pseudomonadati; Pseudomonadota; Gammaproteobacteria; Legionellales; Legionellaceae.
UAGCUAGUUGGUGGGGUAAGGGCCUACCAAGGCGACGAUCGGUAGCUGGUCUGAGAGGAUGGCCAGCCACACUGGAACUGAGUCACGGUCCAGACUCCUACGGGAGGCAGCAGUGGGGAAUAUUGGACAAUGGGGGCAACCCUGAUCCAGCAAUGCCGCGUGUGUGAAGAAGGCCUGAGGGUUGUAAAGCACUUUCAGUGGGGAGGAGAGUUGAUUGGUUAAGAGCUGGUUAAUUGGACGUUACCCACAGAAGAAGCACCGGCUAACUCCGUGCCAGCAGCAGCGGUAAUACGGAGGGUGCGAGCGUUAAUCGGAAUUACUGGGCGUAAAGGGUGCGUAGGUGGUUUAUUAAGUUAUGUGUAAAAUCCCUGGGCUCAACCUGGGCAGGUCAUAUAAUACUGGUAGACUCGAGUAUGGGAGAGGGUAGUGGAAUUUCCGGUGUAGCGGUGAAAUGCGUAGAGAUCGGAAGGAACACCAGUGGCGAAGGCGGCUACCUGGCCUAAUACUGACACUGAGGCACGAAAGCGUGGGGAGCAAACAGGAUUAGAUACCCUGGUAGUCCACGCUGUAAACGAUGUCAACUAGCUGUUGGUUGUAUGAAUAUAAUUAGUGGCGC